RNAcentral lists this unclassified non-coding RNA (367 nucleotides) under Hevea brasiliensis (rubber tree). The record is from RNAcentral. Lineage: Eukaryota; Viridiplantae; Streptophyta; Magnoliopsida; Malpighiales; Euphorbiaceae.
AAACCGGCCAAAACAUCUUGUUGUGUCUAUUGCAAACUUCACAUAUUUGAUGUUGCCACAGUGGCAGUCUGUUGUUCCAGGCCAUUGUUGUAUCUUACCAAUGCAGCAUGAAUCAGCCACAAGGAUUGUUGACAAUAAUGUAUGGGAAGAAAUUCGCAAUUUCAAGAAAUGCCUUAUGAUGAUGUUUGCCCAGCAAGACAAGGAUUUAGUUUUUCUUGAAACAGUGAUGGGGUUGGCGCAGCAGCGUCGUCAUUGUUUAAUUGAGUGCAUUCCUCUGCCACGAGAAAUUGCUAAACAGGCCCCUCUAUAUUUUAAAAAGGCAAUUGAUGAAGCUGAAGAUGAGUGGAGCCAGCACAAUGCAAAGAAG